RNAcentral lists this ribosomal RNA (1378 nucleotides) under uncultured bacterium. Its description in RNAcentral is "16S ribosomal RNA". It matches the Rfam family "Bacterial small subunit ribosomal RNA", at positions 43 to 1398 of the family's 1533-position model. The record is from RNAcentral.
CAGGCUUAACACACGCAAGUUCGAGGGGAAAACGACAUUCGAAGCCUGCUUCGAUGGUCGUUCGACCGGCGCACGGGCGAGUAACGCGUAUUCAACCUGCUCUCUGACCAAUGGAUAGACCCGUCGAAAAGUUCGGAACUAAUACCUUAUGCAGUCGUCGGAAGUCAUCUGAUGACGACGAAAGAUUUUCAUCGGUGAGGGAUCGGGGAUGCGUCUGAUUAGCUUGUUGGCGGGGUAACGGCCCACCAAGGCGACGAUCAGUAGGGGUUCUGAGAGGAAGGUCCCCCACAUUGGAACUGAGACACGGUCCAAACUCCUACGGGAGGCAGCAGUGAGGAAUAUUGGUCAAUGGACGAGAGUCUGAACCAGCCAAGUAGCGUGCAGGAUGACGGCCCUAUGGGUUUGUAAACUGCUUUUUAUGCGGGGAUAAAGUUGAGGGACGUGUCCUUCAUUGCAGGUACCGCAUGAAUAAGGACCGGCUAAUUCCGUGCCAGCAGCCGCGGUAAUACGGAAGGUCCGGGCGUUAUCCGGAUUUAUUGGGUUUAAAGGGAGCGUAGGCCGUGGAUUAAGCGUGUUGUGAAAUGCAGGUGCUCAACGUCUGCACUGCAGCGCGAACUGGUCCACUUGAGUGUGCACAACGCAGGCGGAAUUCGUCGUGUAGCGGUGAAAUGCUUAGAUAUGACGAAGAACUCCGAUUGCGAAGGCAGCUUGCGGGAGCACAACUGACGCUGAAGCUCGAAAGUGCGGGUAUCGAACAGGAUUAGAUACCCUGGUAGUCCGCACGGUAAACGAUGGAUGCCCGUUGUCAGGCUGUUUCAGCCUGGUGACCAAGCGAAAGCAUUAAGCAUCCCACCUGGGGAGUACGCCGGCAACGGUGAAACUCAAAGGAAUUGACGGGGGCCCGCACAAGCGGAGGAACAUGUGGUUUAAUUCGAUGAUACGCGAGGAACCUUACCCGGGCUUGAAUUGCAGACGAAGGCUUCAGAGAUGAAGCGGCCCUUCGGGGCGUCUGUGAAGGUGCUGCAUGGUUGUCGUCAGCUCGUGCCGUGAGGUGUCGGCUUAAGUGCCAUAACGAGCGCAACCCCUUUCUUCAGUUGCCAUCAGGUGAUGCUGGGCACUCUGGAGACACUGCCACCGCAAGGUGUGAGGAAGGUGGGGAUGACGUCAAAUCAGCACGGCCCUUACGUCCGGGGCUACACACGUGUUACAAUGGCCGGUACAGAGAGUUGAUUUUGUGCAAGCACGAUCUAAUCCUUAAAUCCGGUCCCAGUUCGGACUGGGGUCUGCAACCCGACCCCACGAAGCUGGAUUCGCUAGUAAUCGCGCAUCAGCCAUGGCGCGGUGAAUACGUUCCCGGGCCUUGCACACACCGCCCGUC